Molecule: RNA transcript, 1316 nt
Organism: Cyanidioschyzon merolae strain 10D
Lineage: Eukaryota; Rhodophyta; Bangiophyceae; Cyanidiales; Cyanidiaceae
Exons: 1
Source: RefSeq, a predicted model, not a curated record
ACUGAAACCGCACAAGAAAGUCGCCGUUCGAGAAAUGUCCUGGAUAACGCUCUCUAUAUCAAAGACGUCAGGGCUUCGUGUCGUGUUGCUUUCCGUGAGCAGGGAUCGCAGCGCAAGCAACAGGUUUCGGACGCUGGAACGAAUCGCUGGGUGCAACCCCAGCACUUGACACGAGUCGAGCAGGAACCGAAGGCCACCGUAGUGUUCCAACGCACUGAGAAUCGCUGGUGACGCCUGCGGCAGUGCUGCGAGGUCCGUAAGGGCCUGGAGGCAGACCAGCAUCAACUGCUGUUGGAAGGCUUCGGGUUGGUACACUCUAUCCUGGACCCAGCUUUGGUUCCUGGGAAGCGCGUGCGUUGCGGCUGGGGUGCGCUCAGCACCGACGGCUGGUACAGCGGCUGCCUGUUGAGGAUUUUGCGCCAGCAGGUCCAGUGACUGGGCUGCUAACUGACCCACGAGCCCGUGUACUAGGCCUGGCGUCUGGAGGAGGUCGCCACGAACGGAGCCGUAGCGGCACAGGGUCGUGAGCACCUCUCCCGCUUGGAUCGCAAGCGCAUAAUAGGCGGGACGCUCACUCAUCUGCGUGCAAGUCAAGUGCUUGACGAUUAUUGCCAAAAGCGGGACGCUCUCACUGGGCCUGAUGAUGCUCCACUUGCGCGUGUACUGCAACCAGGUGCGGAGCCCUGUUUCGCGCUCAGUUAGGAGCCGCACGCAACGAAGCGCGUACUGGCGUACGAGUAACGGUACCGUCCGUGCGUUGGUAUCGAGGAGCGAGUCUGCUGGUACAGCGCUUUCGAUGGAGAACGGAUCCCGCUCAAACUGCCAAGGCAUUUGCAGGACAUGCUCCACGGCCUCGAGGAGUCCGAUGCCGUCGAGAUAUUUCCAUUGAUGCUCAUUGAGCGUGGUGAGCAUCACCGAAAUCAGUGCCCAGAGCUGCUCCAGUGCUUGACGAUGCUGGAAGCAUGCAUCGUCGCUGGUACUUGUCUCGAGAAGGGCAGCGUGUCGGGUGGCCAGACGCCACAAGGUCGCACCGUGUUCGCUUUUCUCCAAGAGCAUGAAACAGGCCCACGGGUUCGAUGUCAUCGGCUGGCGACGAGGGACAUUCGUCGUCGUCGUCGUCGUCGUCGUCGUCGUCGAUGAACUGCUCGGUUGAGAGGGAUCCACGGGCUCCACGGCAGCAGCGCACCAGUUGCGUAUACAGGCCCAGGCCUCGACGGCGAUCGCAGCCGGUAUCGCCGCAUUGUCACUCAGGAGCAGCGCGAGUUCGAUGAGCGACGGUUCCUUGUUUCUUUCUGCAUCUUGCGCUAAAAAGACAA